Long non-coding RNA from Triticum dicoccoides, 538 nucleotides. RefSeq lists it as uncharacterized. The record is from RefSeq and is a predicted model, not a curated record. The transcript is spliced from 5 exons. Lineage: Eukaryota; Viridiplantae; Streptophyta; Magnoliopsida; Poales; Poaceae.
GUCCGCUCCUCCCUACCCUCCGGCCAGAUUCUCCGCUCCCGGCCUCUACCGCCCGCUCGAAACGCCACCCCCAUGGCUAGGGUUUCGGGCAGGGCUUCGCCGGCGCGUCUCCGGCGGCCCAGAUGCAGAUGGAGCACGCCAUGGGAAUUCCCCAUCCACCAUGGUCGCCGCCAUCAAGGGCUUCUUCACGGAGAUGUGGAGGACGCCAUGGACCUGCAGCUCCAAGGUCAACAGGGAGGAACCCUAGCCAUAAGCACCUCCUCGGAUGACGCCUCUGCUACACCAAGAUAGAGAUAUAUAUGAUAUCUACAUGGCUGCUAUGCUACUUUUUUUGUGUGAUGAAUCAUUGUGAGUUUCGAAGAAACUUCCAAUGUUACCUCCGCCAAGUUUGCCGGCAGAAGAAGCACAUCCAUUGAGCCGUUCAAUGUCGCCUGCGGUGGCUACACCAGAGGGUAACCAUGGUAGCAUCUUGAGCCCAAGAACAGUGUUACUGCCAUUUAACGCCGCGAUGUUUUAGCUCCAGGAAUUUGGACCCUCC